RNAcentral lists this ribosomal RNA (454 nucleotides) under uncultured bacterium. RNAcentral's name for it is "partial 16S ribosomal RNA". It matches the Rfam family "Bacterial small subunit ribosomal RNA", at positions 341 to 792 of the family's 1533-position model. The record is from RNAcentral.
ACGGAAGGCAGCAGUGAGGAAUAUUGGUCAAUGGACGGAAGUCUGAACCAGCCAUGCCGCGUGCAGGAAUAAGGCCCUAUGGGUCGUAAACUGCUUUUGACGGGGAGCAAUAAGGUCUACGUGUAGGCCGAUGAGAGUACUCGUCGAAUAAGCAUCGGCUAACUCCGUGCCAGCAGCCGCGGUAAUACGGAGGAUGCAAGCGUUAUCCGGAUUUAUUGGGUUUAAAGGGUGCGUAGGCUGUGGACCAAGUCAGUGGUGAAAGCCCGGGGCUUAACUCCGGAACUGCCAUUGAUACUGGCCCGCUGGAAUACGGAUGCCGUGGGAGGAAUGAGUAGUGUAGCGGUGAAAUGCAUAGAUAUUACUCAGAACACCGAUUGCGAAGGCAUCUCACGAAUCCGUCAUUGACGCUGAGGCACGAAAGCGUGGGGAUCAAACAGGAUUAGAUACCCUGGUA